UACAGAGGUCCCAAGCGUUGUUCGGAUUCACUGGGCGUAAAGGGUGCGUAGGCGGUCGGGUAAGUCUGACGUGAAAGCCCGGGGCUCAACCCCGGAAUGGCGUCGGAUACUCUCCGGCUGGAGGAUGGGAAGGGGGACUGGAAUGCUCGGUGUAGCAGUGAAAUGCGUAGAGAUCGAGCGGAACACCUGUGGCGAAGGCGAGUCCCUGGACCAUUCCUGACGCUGAGGCACGAAAGCUAGGGGAG
Molecule: ribosomal RNA, 245 nt
Filed under: uncultured bacterium
Lineage: Bacteria
Description: partial 16S ribosomal RNA
Rfam family: Bacterial small subunit ribosomal RNA
Source: RNAcentral